AAAUAAUUUAAUUUAAAAAUAUUAAUAUGUAAUGUUAAAGAGGAAUAGGUGAUAGGUGAUUAGGAAAACCUUUAAAAUGACAAAUGUAAUUAUCUUCUAGAGACGAAAGGAGUAUUCCAUAUUCCAUUCUCGAUUCCGAUUAGUAAGAAUAAAGUGACGUUAUUGGUUAGAGUAUGCUUAAAUCAAGUACUCCAAAGUCAACUACUUCAUAAGCUACCCCGAGAAUCCAACUGAGAAGCUAACUAUACUUGUCUUCCAAAUCAACCACCCUUCAUUCUUAAAUUUCUCCUUCAAAUUCCAUCAAAAUCAAAUUCAAAUUCAAUCAAUUACUCAAACAUGGCGAUGCCUUGGAGUAUGACGUUAUGGAUAUCAAAGAUGGUAUGGUUGGCACUUGCCGGUUGGAUUUCUUCUUGUUUAAUCGUAGCCGAUGAAGUUGCCAGCUCUAUUCGUACUGGUGAUAUUGGUGCCUUCCAUGUCGGUUGAUUUCUUCUCUUUUUUUAUAUUAAUUUUUUGAAUGAAAGAGCAUAGUUAGCUGCCAGAAUUUGUCUUGGACUCUUGGGUGCCUGGAGGUGAUUGUGCGUUACUCUGUAUAUUCUGUUCCUAGCACUUCAGUCCGUAGCAGCAAGAAUUGUUUCGAGCACUUCUUGAGCAGUAGGAUAUCUGGUACUGGGGCCAUGGGUCGGUGAUUCCAGUGGCAGUGACAUGCAUCUGCCAUCCUUAUGUCAGAUUGCUAGGAUAAUGUAGUAUUCCCAACUCCCAAGCCCCCAAUGCCCAGGCCAGGUCAAAGGUGAGCCCUGAGGUCACUGUAGCUUAGGCCAAGCAGCUUAUUCACACUGCUUCCAUUUUCAGAGAUGCAUGUGAUCAUGAGGUUUUGGGUUAGUUUUUAACUGAUACAUGAGGUUUCUUAUGAGAAGUUCAACGGGCUGCUCAGUUAACUCUGACGUUCUCAAGGCAUGGUGCUGCUCUUACUUUGGAUGAGAAUGUUUCUCUGAUAUAGUUGUAUGGAUUCAUUGUGCAAAUAUUAGGAAAAUAUGGAACGAUGUGGCUGUGUUUCAUGAUUUUUUUUAAUGAACAUGUAAUUUCUGUGUGAUCAAUCAUCAAUGCGUCUAACUUUGUGUCUGAUUGAGGCAUCAUGUAAUGUUUUCACAACAUUUUUGCAGGAAGCAUCAGUCUUUCCACCUCAUUUGUAUUUUAUACAAAGAAAAUGAGGAUUUUGUAUAUAUAUUCAUAUUAGAAACGGAGAGGAUGUAUUUUAAACCACAUAAAAUCACCAUACAUCACAAAUUCAAUAUGGCAUCGAGGGAGGGAAUUUUUAUUUGAAGCGGUAAGCCUCGAAUCGUUGCUCACUCGUAGAAGCUGGUAAUACAGGUUUCUGUCAAACACAUGAUACAUUGCAUACAUACAGUACUUGUAAAUGUAACCUCAACUCUCUUGCUUCUAAAUGCUGUCAAGUAAAGAUCAAAUUACAAUACGAUGUGUAGUCUAAAGACAAAGUCAACUAAUUUUUUUUAAGAUCAAGCUUCCUUUUCUGAUGUAUUUUGCAUUCUAAAAGGAGUUAAGCAGGCAACAGAACAUGGCAUUUGCGCUUAUGAUUCGGAUGGUCCAGCUACAUGUUUAUAGACAGAGUCAACUAAGUUUUUGUAAGAUCAAGCUUCUUUUUGUGCCUAUAAUUUUCCUAGAAUUUUGUGCCUUCCCUACUGCUCCGAUUAUUAUGAAAUAGAGGGAGUACCAAACAAGGCUUUAGUGAAACAGAUUUUUGUGUGUGUAUAUAUAGAGCCACAACGGAGAGUGAUGUUAACAUAGGACCCAAUAUUUAACCAACCAAGGUGGCUGACAAUCUGCAUCAACAAGCAUGAUGCAAUGAAAAGGAGGAGAGCACAAAGUUGAAUUUGCAAGGGUAUGAUAGACUGAUAGUAUGACAAAUGUAGCAAGUUAGUCCAUAUCGUCCACUCCAUUUUGUCAAAAUGUUCAGACUAGUCUUUUUUAUAUGGUUGAUCUAAUGCCAAAAAUAGUCACAAUUUAUCAGAAUUAUGUAACUAAUCAAUCAAUAUUAUUUUAGAGAAAAUGUGAUAAUUAUGAUAAAUAAAGAUGGUUUUAUAUUCCGUAUAAUUAAACUUCAAGCACACUAAAAAAAUGUUGGCUCACUUGGUAAGAUUCGAAUCUCAGGUAUUUGGGGGUAGGAAUUCCCUUACUCUCCAUUCUACUCCCAAGCGUCUUACCCGCAAAUACUAGACCAAAAAAACGAGAGAGUUGAGGUAUGAUCAGGGUCUUCUUACCAUUAGAAAAAAAAAAAAACUAAACUUUAAGCACAUCAACCACCACCCAUCUUCUUCUUCCCUCACCCCACAACCACAACCAAUCCAAAACUCAAAACCCCAAUGAAUUGUAAUACCAAAGAAACCCAAACCCCCAAAAUUUUUAUCUCCUCGUUUAGAAAUGUUGAUGUUGGUCAUGGUUAAAAAAAAAAACUUGCAAGACUUGGGCGUUUAGUAAUUAGAAGUCAACGAUAUGUGUUUUACAUUUAUUUGUUCACUUCCAUCUCAAGUACUAGAACUGGACAAUCAAUCUGUAAGUUAAGUAGAAUAAAAUAGAAGCUUUUGAGCCAUCCUUAAGCUUUUGCUGUAAUGGCAGAAGCAAUUCUCAUGGCAGUCACAAAGUCUGUUGUUGAAAAGCUUGCUUCCUUCGCAGCUGAUCUUGCAUUGACCUCGGCUACAGAAGAGAUCAGAGCUGCCAAAGCAGCUAGAAAAGAUCUCAAGACGAUGGCGAGCAAACUUUCUGUCAUUUGUGCUGUUCUUGAAGAUGCAGAGCGGAGGCAGUACGCUAACGAGUCCAUUAAAAUUUGGCUAAGAGAUCUCAAGGAUGUUGUUUACGACAUUGAUGAUCUUCUCGAUGAAGUUUCGACUUAUGCUUUGCAGCGUACUGCCAAUGAAGGUCAUUUGCUUAUCCAGCUGAGGUACUGUUUUUCCUCUAAUCCUGUUAUUAUUCGUUUUUGAGUUGAGCAACAAAAUAAAAGAUCUCCGUGAAAAAUUAGAUGAUAUAGUGGCUAAGAAAAAUGAUUUUGGAUUGACUGAGCAUCCAGUUGAAAUCACACAUGUAGAGCGGAACCCUUUAGAUACAUGUGCUUAUGUGAAUAUGUCAGACAUUAUUGGAAGAGAUGAGGCUAGACAGGAUGUUGUAAAUAUAUUAUCAGCUAUUGGUGGUGCUCGUAAUCAUCCGCCUGUGCUUCCUAUAGUAGGAUUGGGAGGUGUUGGGAAAACUGCAUUAGCAAAGUUGGUGUACCAUGAUGAGUGGGUUGUACGUGCAUUUGAUAUCAAGCUUUGGGCAUGUAUCUCGCAUAAAUUUGACAUUCAGAAAAUCAUGGAGGAUAUUAUAUAAUCCGCUGUUGAUGAUAAUUUGUCAAAUCUAGGCUUAGGUCGAGUUUUAGAGAAACUUCAAGAUUUGCUGAGGGGAAAGAAAUAUUUUCUUGUGCUAGAUGAUAUAUGGUUACAUGACAUUGCACUGUGGACUGAGUUUAAGAACAUGCUAGCAGUUGGUAACGAUGAAAGUGUGAUUUUGGUCACUACAAGACAUGCAAAUGUUGCAUCUGUCAUUGGAACUGUAAAGCCGUAUUAUUUGGCUGGGCUUUCAGAUCACUGUUCUUGGUCUAUCUUCGAGCAAUUAGCGUUCAUUGAAGGAGAUGAACAGAGAUAUCCAGAUCUUGUUCAAAUUGGAAGAUCUAUUGUGAAGAAAUGUGUUGGAGUUCCACUUCUUGUUAAAACGUUAGCGAGUUUUUUACGUAAUGAGAGAAACAAGAGUGAAUGGCUACAGGUUGAUAGAAAAACCAGCCUUGUAGAGGUGCAAACUCAAUGCACUAAUGUGAUGCGAAUUUUGAAAUUGAGCUAUGAUAAGCUUCCUUCUCACUCAAAACCUUCAAAUAUUAGAGAUUGUAGGGGUUCCAAAAUUGGUUUCUUUGCCGGAUGAUCUCCAAUCUGCUGCGACCUCUCUUCUAAGUCUCUCAAUCGGAUGCUGCAUAAGUACUACUCAGCUUCCUAAUUGGCUGCAAGAUUUCAUACAUCUUCGAAGACUUCACAUUUACGAUUGCCCAAAUUUGUUGGCUUUGCCCAAGGGAUUUCGACAUCUCCAUUCUUUGGAGACUCUGAGGAUCCGAAAUUGCUCCCAUUUGACAACUAGAUGCGCUAAACCUUAUGGAGAAGAGUUCUGUAACAUACAGCAUGUCCGCGAAUUUUUUCUUGACAAUCAACUAGUCAGAUGACUCCAAACUCUAUCCAGCAGAUCAGCCUUGGCAGAAGUUGAGCUGGAGCUGGAUACUAAUAUAAAUGAAUUGAGCUAGUCAUAGCUAGUUGCUUGGCCGUGGUAUGGUAAAUUGCCAAGUCUCAUACCAUAAGUAGGUACACCCUAGGAUACUUACAUGGCAUGGAAGAAUUUGAAGGCAUGAAUGCACAAGGGUUUGAUUCAAAUGGACACGUCUUCGAACCUACUUAACAUUUGAAGGUGAUUUAUUUUGGAGGUGACUGCUCAUCUCAAGAGCUUGCACGCACGAAACGGACUGGUAGAGAGGGAGUUAUGAUGCUUAAAGUUGUCCUGAUUGUAUGGUCAAAUGCCGGUGUUGGACCUAAAUGUCUGUUUUGAAGCCUUUUUUUUUUUUUUUUGAAUUCCUUCCUAUAUUCAGAAGAAAGAAAACAGGGGAUUAAGAAGUUUGCUUAAAUUUUAGGUGUGGAUAUAUUAGGCUUGAAGAGGCAUGUUUGCGUUGGUUGGAGUUGGAGUUGUUGGACUAAGGAUGUAGUUUCUUUAUUUGGUGUAAGAGCUAGCUACAAUUUAGGUCACACUUCGCAAAAAUCUGACCUAUGUAGUUAAGGAUAUGCCCACUUAUGUAUUUUUAAGCCUGGAUAGUAUUGGUAUGUUA
This is a long non-coding RNA of Chenopodium quinoa (quinoa), 4903 nucleotides long. RefSeq lists it as uncharacterized. The transcript has 4 exons. The record is from RefSeq and is a predicted model, not a curated record. NCBI's taxonomy places the organism in Eukaryota, Viridiplantae, Streptophyta, Magnoliopsida, Caryophyllales, Amaranthaceae.